This 167-nucleotide ribosomal RNA is filed under the name Lentinus sajor-caju. Its description in RNAcentral is "5.8S ribosomal RNA". It matches the Rfam family "5.8S ribosomal RNA". Rfam says of the family: 5.8S ribosomal RNA (5.8S rRNA) is a component of the large subunit of the eukaryotic ribosome. It is transcribed by RNA polymerase I as part of the 45S precursor that also contains 18S and 28S rRNA. Functionally, it is thought that 5.8S rRNA may be involved in ribosome translocation. Lineage: Eukaryota; Fungi; Basidiomycota; Agaricomycetes; Polyporales; Polyporaceae. The record is from RNAcentral.
CAUAAUACAACUUUCAACAACGGAUCUCUUGGCUCUCGCAUCGAUGAAGAACGCAGCGAAAUGCGAUAAGUAAUGUGAAUUGCAGAAUUCAGUGAAUCAUCGAAUCUUUGAACGCACCUUGCGCCCCUUGGUAUUCCGAGGGGCAUGCCUGUUUGAGUGUCAUUAAA